AGGCCCAGACAGCCAGGAUGUUGGCUUAGAAGCAGCCAUCAUUUAAAGAAAGCGUAAUAGCUCACUGGUCGAGUCGGCCUGCGCGGAAGAUGUAACGGGGCUAAACCAUGCACCGAAGCUGCGGCAGCGACACUGUGUGUUGUUGGGUAGGGGAGCGUUCUGUAAGCCUGUGAAGGUGUGUCGUGAGGCAUGCUGGAGGUAUCAGAAGUGCGAAUGCUGACAUAAGUAACGAUAAAGCGGGUGAAAAGCCCGCUCGCCGGAAGACCAAGGGUUCCUGUCCAACGUUAAUCGGGGCAGGGUGAGUCGACCCCUAAGGCGAGGCCGAAAGGCGUAGUCGAUGGGAAACGGGUUAAUAUUCCCGUACUUGGUGUUACUGCGAAGGGGGGACGGAGAAGGCUAUGUUGGCCGGGCGACGGUUGUCCCGGUUUAAGCGUGUAGGUGUGUGUUCCAGGUAAAUCCGGUUCACUUUAACACUGAGGCGUGACGACGAGGCACUACGGUGCUGAAGCAACAAAUGCCCUGCUUCCAGGAAAAGCCUCUAAGCAUCAGGUAACAUCAAAUCGUACCCCAAACCGACACAGGUGGUCAGGUAGAGAAUACCAAGGCGCUUGAGAGAACUCGGGUGAAGGAACUAGGCAAAAUGGUGCCGUAACUUCGGGAGAAGGCACGCUGACACGUAGGUGAAGUGAUUUACUCAUGGAGCUGAAGUCAGUCGAAGAUACCAGCUGGCUGCAACUGUUUAUUAAAAACACAGCACUGUGCAAACACGAAAGUGGACGUAUACGGUGUGACGCCUGCCCGGUGCCGGAAGGUUAAUUGAUGGGGUCAGCGCAAGCGAAGCUCCUGAUCGAAGCCCCGGUAAACGGCGGCCGUAACUAUAACGGUCCUAAGGUAGCGAAAUUCCUUGUCGGGUAAGUUCCGACCUGCACGAAUGGCGUAAUGAUGGCCAGGCUGUCUCCACCCGAGACUCAGUGAAAUUGAACUCGCUGUGAAGAUGCAGUGUACCCGCGGCAAGACGGAAAGACCCCGUGAACCUUUACUAUAGCUUGACACUGAACAUUGAGCCUUGAUGUGUAGGAUAGGUGGGAGGCUUUGAAGUGUGGACGCCAGUCUGCAUGGAGCCGACCUUGAAAUACCACCCUUUAAUGUUUGAUGUUCUAACGUGGACCCGUUACCCGGGUUGCGGACAGUGUCUGGUGGGUAGUUUGACUGGGGCGGUCUCCUCCUAAAGAGUAACGGAGGAGCACGAAGGUUGGCUAAUCCUGGUCGGACA
RNAcentral lists this ribosomal RNA (1273 nucleotides) under Salmonella enterica. RNAcentral describes it as "partial 23S ribosomal RNA". It matches the Rfam family "Bacterial large subunit ribosomal RNA", at positions 1081 to 2337 of the family's 2925-position model. Lineage: Bacteria; Pseudomonadati; Pseudomonadota; Gammaproteobacteria; Enterobacterales; Enterobacteriaceae. The record is from RNAcentral.